RNAcentral lists this transfer RNA (72 nucleotides) under Stegodyphus mimosarum. It matches the Rfam family "tRNA". From Rfam's summary of the family: Transfer RNA (tRNA) molecules are approximately 80 nucleotides in length. Their secondary structure includes four short double-helical elements and three loops (D, anti-codon, and T loops). Further hydrogen bonds mediate the characteristic L-shaped molecular structure. tRNAs have two regions of fundamental functional importance: the anti-codon, which is responsible for specific mRNA codon recognition, and the 3' end, to which the tRNAs corresponding amino acid is attached (by aminoacyl-tRNA synthetases). tRNAs cope with the degeneracy of the genetic code in two manners: having more than one tRNA (with a specific anti-codon) for a particular amino acid; and 'wobble' base-pairing, i.e. permitting non-standard base-pairing at the 3rd anti-codon position. Lineage: Eukaryota; Metazoa; Arthropoda; Arachnida; Araneae; Eresidae. The record is from Rfam by way of RNAcentral.
GCCUUCGUGGUGUACCGGUUAGCACACUCGGCGCGUAUUCGAGAGGUCCAGGUUCGAGUCCCGGAGAGGGCA